Molecule: ribosomal RNA, 502 nt
Filed under: uncultured bacterium
Lineage: Bacteria
Description: partial 16S ribosomal RNA
Rfam family: Bacterial small subunit ribosomal RNA
Source: RNAcentral
AUUGAACGCAGGCGGAAUGCUUUACACAUGCAAGUCGAGGGGCAGCGGGGGCGUAGCAAUACGCCUGCCGGCGACCGGCGCACGGGUGAGUAACACGUAUGCAACCUGCCCGUCACAGGGGGAUAAGCGGAAGAAAUUCCGUCUAAUACCGCGUAGCACCUGCGGAGGGCAUCCUCUGCAGGUUAAAGAAUUUCGGUGACGGAUGGGCAUGCGGCGCAUUAGCUAGUUGGCGGGGUAACGGCCCACCAAGGCGACGAUGCGUAGGGGUUCUGAGAGGAAGGUCCCCCACACUGGUACUGAGACACGGACCAGACUCCUACGGGAGGCAGCAGUGAGGAAUAUUGGUCAAUGGGCGCGAGCCUGAACCAGCCAAGUCGCGUGAGGGAAUACGGCCCUACGGGUUGUAAACCUCUUUUGUCGGGGAGCAAAUGCGCCACGUGUGGCGCUGCGAGAGUACCCGAAGAAAAAGCAUCGGCUAACUCCGUGCCAGCCGCCGCCGUAA